UGUGAGCACACAAUGAGAAGCUGGCAGUCUGCAACCUAGAAGAGGGUCCUCACCAGAACCCAACCAUGCUGGCCACCUGAUCUUGUACUUCCAGCCUCCAG
Balaenoptera musculus (blue whale) is the source of this 101-nucleotide long non-coding RNA. RefSeq lists it as uncharacterized. Lineage: Eukaryota; Metazoa; Chordata; Mammalia; Artiodactyla; Balaenopteridae. The transcript is spliced from 3 exons. The record is from RefSeq and is a predicted model, not a curated record.